Molecule: ribosomal RNA, 497 nt
Filed under: uncultured bacterium
Lineage: Bacteria
Description: partial 16S ribosomal RNA
Rfam family: Bacterial small subunit ribosomal RNA
Source: RNAcentral
GAUGAACGCUGGCGGCGUGCCUAAUACAUGCAAGUCGAGCGAACAGACGAGGAGCUUACUCCUCUGACGUUAGCGGCGGACGGGUGAGUAACACGUGGAUAACCUACCUAUAAGACUGGGAUAACUUCGGGAAACCGGAGCUAAUACCGGAUAAUAUAUUGAACCGCAUGGUUCAAUAGUGAAAGACGGUUUUGCUGUCACUUAUAGAUGGAUCCGCGCCGCAUUAGCUAGUUGGUAAGGUAACGGAUUACCAAGGCAACGAUGCGUAGCCGACCUGAGAGGGUGAUCGGCCACACUGGAACUGAGACACGGUCCAGACUCCUACGGGAGGCAGCAGUAGGGAAUCUUCCGCAAUGGGCGAGAGCUUGACGGAGCAACGCCGCGUGAGUGAUGAAGGUCUUCGGAUCGUAAAACUCUGUUAUUAGGGAAGAACAAAUGUGUAAGUAACUAUGCACGUCUUGACGGUACCUAAUCAGAAAGCCACGGCUAACUACGUG